GUCCACGCCGUAAACGAUGAUAACUAGGUGUUGGGAGAAUUGACCCUUUCAGUACCGUAGCACACGCGCUAAGUUAUCCGCCUGGGGAGUACGGCCGCAAGGCUAAAACUCAAAGGAAUUGACGGGGCCCGCACAAGAGGUGGAGUAUGUGGUUUAAUUCGAAGCAACGCGAAGAACCUUACCUAGGCUUGACAUACCGUGAAAAGUGUAGAGAUGCAUAAUAGUCGCAAGACACACGGAUACAGGUGCUGCAUGGCUGUCGU
RNAcentral lists this ribosomal RNA (263 nucleotides) under uncultured bacterium. RNAcentral's name for it is "partial 16S ribosomal RNA". It matches the Rfam family "Bacterial small subunit ribosomal RNA", at positions 793 to 1055 of the family's 1533-position model. The record is from RNAcentral.